Molecule: ribosomal RNA, 479 nt
Filed under: uncultured organism
Description: partial 16S ribosomal RNA
Rfam family: Bacterial small subunit ribosomal RNA
Source: RNAcentral
CGUACACUCCUGCGGGAGGCAGCAGUGGGGAAUAUUGCACAAUGGGCGCAAGCCUGAUGCAGCCAUGCCGCGUGUAUGAAGAAGGCCUUCGGGUUGUAAAGUACUUUCAGCGGGGAGGAAGGCAAUACGGUUAAUAACCGUGUUGAUUGACGUUACCCGCAGAAGAAGCACCGGCUAACUCCGUGCCAGCAGCCGCGGUAAUACGGAGGGUGCAAGCGUUAAUCGGAAUUACUGGGCGUAAAGCGCACGCAGGCGGUCUGUCAAGUCGGAUGUGAAAUCCCCGGGCUCAACCUGGGAACUGCAUUCGAAACUGGCAGGCUUGAGUCUUGUAGAGGGGGGUAGAAUUCCAGGUGUAGCGGUGAAAUGCGUAGAGAUCUGGAGGAAUACCGGUGGCGAAGGCGGCCCCCUGGACAAAGACUGACGCUCAGGUGCGAAAGCGUGGGGAGCAAACAGGAUUAGAAACCCUAGUAGUCCCAUGA